CGUUAGCGGCGGACGGGUGAGUAACACGUGGGUAACCUACCUAUAANACUGGGAUAACUUCGGGAAACCGGAGCUAAUACCGGAUAAUAUUUCGAACCGCAUGGUUCGAUAGUGAAAGAUGGUUUUGCUAUCACUUAUAGAUGGACCCGCGCCGUACUAGCUAGUUGGUAAGGUAACGGCUUACCAAGGCGACGAUACGUAGCCGACCUGAGAGGGUGAUCGGCCACACUGGAACUGAGACACGGUCCAGACUCCUACGGGAGGCAGCAGCA
RNAcentral lists this ribosomal RNA (272 nucleotides) under uncultured Staphylococcus sp. Its description in RNAcentral is "partial 16S ribosomal RNA". It matches the Rfam family "Bacterial small subunit ribosomal RNA", at positions 90 to 355 of the family's 1533-position model. Lineage: Bacteria; Bacillati; Bacillota; Bacilli; Caryophanales; Staphylococcaceae. The record is from RNAcentral.